Molecule: ribosomal RNA, 468 nt
Filed under: uncultured bacterium
Lineage: Bacteria
Description: partial 16S ribosomal RNA
Rfam family: Bacterial small subunit ribosomal RNA (bases 58-468)
Source: RNAcentral
GGGGGGGGGGGGGGGGGGGGGGGGGGGGGGGGGGGGGGGGGGGGGGGGCGGGGGUGGGUGGGGGGCGCGGGGGGGGGACGGGGGGGUGACACGUGGGUAACCUGCCCUUGGCUUUGGGAUAACUUCAGGAAGCUGGGGCUAAUACCGGCUCGGCGCUCCUGCUGCAUGGUGGGGGUUGGCACGUUUCGGCGGUUGGGGAUGGACUCGCGGCUUCUCAGCUUGUUGGUGGGGUAGUGGCUUACCAAGGCUUUGACGGGUAGCCGGCCUGAGCGGGUGACCGGCCACAUUGGGACUGGGAUACGGCCCAGACGCCUACGGGAGGCAGCAGUGGGGAAUAUUGCACAAUGGGCGGAAGCCUGAUGCAGCAACGCCGCGUGCGGGAUGACGGCCUUCGGGUUGUAAACCGCUUUCGCCUGUGACGAAGCGUGAGUGACGUUAAUGGGUAAAGAAGCACCGGCUAACUACGUG